CUGGAAUGUUAGCAAGCUAUUUGCUGGAAAAAAUGCCCACAACAGGCCUAAUGUUGAUCACAUUAAUGCGUUUGAGUGAGUAUGGAGUGCAAAUGAUUGAAAAUGCUUCCAGAUCCCCGUUGCAAGGGACAAAGCAGGCUCUGUUCUCUGAUCUGAUGGUCAUUUUUUUUUCCAGCGGAGGAUGUGGGGCAGGAAGAGGGAAGAGGGCCAAUCUCUGUCUAAUGGUUCCAAACAGGGCCCGGGCCCGGCCCUCUGGAUGCUGACGAGUGGGAAAUGAAACACAGAUGGGUCAGAUGGGUAAGGAGAGGGGGAUUACAGGUCAGGCCAAAGAGUUGGAAUAAAUUAAGUGCUUAUGAGGUACAGAAUGGCACAUUGUUUAAGUGAAUGGACAGGGAAAAAACAUUCCAGCAUUGUUCAUCCGCCGAGGGAGCCCAACGCUCCUCUUCCCAGACGAGCCCAGGCCACAGAGCGCCUCCUCCUCGCCAGGAUGUUUGUGACCCACAGACUGAAAACGCGGCCAGGCGGUGCCCGAAACAUUAUCCUAGCCUCCAAAGAGGCCAGUUUGGCUUUAUUACACGGGAGAUGUAAUUUAUUGGGAGAAAUGUUUGGGUUCGUGUGUCGGAUGGUGGAGAGUCAGAUUUGGAGUUCCCUAGGGAUCUCCGAGGAGAAGAAGCAGAUGUUCACAAAGCAACUGACCAGGCCAGGUGUGUCCUUCAAGGCUACCUGCAUUCAACAGAGGCGACCACAGCCCAGACCCAUCCUUCUUGGGAGAAUUUCAAGAUGCUCCACAUAGUGGUGCCUAGCGCUCUGUGCACUCAGAGGCUAGAAGAAAAGAUACAGAGGUCCUCUUUCAAGGAGAGGCCCUGAUGUUUCUAUUCUUACAAGGAUUCUUUGGUAAUAAAUACAGUGAAAACACCGUCACCGUAGAGAUAAUACUUAAUGCUCAAGAGGUACGUAGCAGAGAUUGCAUUCCAAUCAAGGACUUCCGUAACCCUGUCUACCAAGCCAGUAUCACCUGUAGGCCAGUUCACCUUCAUCCAGUCACUUUACAGCACUUGAGUGUUUGCUGUCCGCUCAAUUAAAAUCCUACUCUGGUGGGAAAAACCAGAUUUCCAAAUGGGGACUUUAUUGAUUCAAUAAAAUUUAAGAAAUUCUGCUUAUGGAAAAACUCAUUAACCCAAACUAAUAAAUACGAGUUUACCCUGCAGUCUGGGUCCUCUUUAUUUGACAGAAUUAAAAAAUCACUCUGGAACAACUUAGUUCACUUUUCACUUGUUAAUGGAGCUUAAUAGUUCAGUAAUUCGCUUUCUGUUCUAAGCUGGCGAACUCUUCAUUCUUUCCGACACAACUUGCAUUCUCUUGCUCUCAACUUUACAGAGCCUGCGGGUUACAAAGAGGGUUCACAGAAGUGAAGAGCAGGGAGGAAGGGGGAAGGAAGGAGAACUUUUCCUCGGGCUGAUGUAAUGGCUCGAGGCUCAGCCCCUCCUAGAGGGUGGUGUCAAAUUGCAGGGCACUGUUAAGAUUCUUCAGCAAAGUUUCAAAUGCAAUGUCCCUGUGAGGGACAACGUUAUUAUCGCAUACAUGUCACAGCAAAUUUCCACUUCGGUUCAACAUCCUCUAAAAGAAACUGCAAAAAGCCAAAACUGCAUGUGCAGUGGACAAAACCUUCCCAUCAAUUUUGCCCUCUGGCACAAAGACUUUCCUUUGGAAGGCUGCUACUGUACAAAUGUUUGCUUAUUCUUAGUACAGAACUUAUGAUGUCAGUUUUUUUUUUAAAGCAAGAAUGUGUUAAAAGUAGUUGUGGCUGACUAUGGAUGUCUGAAGGUCUUCGGGAUAAAGUGCAGAGCUUGAGGGGCAACGUCAGAGUUUGUUGAGAUAUUUUUGUCACUGUUCAGUUUUCCCAACACCUCUGGAGAGAUGCCCCAACUGCACCUGUUGUAGCCAUAUAAAUCACACUCCAACCCACCUGCAUUCUCUGGACCAACCACUGCCCACCAAACAGUAAACCACUAGUCAGCUCUUAAUGUGAAAAUCUUAAAAGCUAGUUGUAAGUCAGUCUGAGUUGUUGAAUCUUUGAAAUAUGUCAUAUGGUUUAAUUGCUUAAUUUUCUAUCACUCCACAAUCCUUUUUUUCCCCUUAAUCUAUACUGACUUAGGAAGAAGGAUUUUUUUAUGCAGACAGGAACAUUCAAACUACUUCCACGUAUACAGAUAAAAGUAAAUAAUUGUUUCGUCUCUGGAUACAAACUGAGGAUUCUACUACUACCCCCAAAAGUGAAAAGAUGCACCUUAUGUUCAUAUUUAACACUAUUUAUAAUAGCCAAGACAUGGAAGCAACUUGAAUGUCCAUCAACAAUGGAUAAAGAAGAUGUAGAAUGUACAGACACACACACACACACACACACAAACACAAAUGGAAUACUACUCAGCCAUUAAAAAGAAUGAAAUAACGCCAUUUGUAGCAACAAGAAUGAACCUAGAGAUCAUCAUGUUAAGUGAAAUAUGUCAGAGGAAGACAAAUAUUACACGAUAUCGCUUAUAUAUGGAAUCUAAAAAAUAGUAAAAUGAACUUAUUUACAAAACAUAAAUAGACUCACAGACAUAGGGAAAAAAAUGCAUGGUUACCAAAGGGGAAGGUGGAACGGAAGGAAUAAAUUGGGAGUAUGGUAUUAACAUAUAUAAACUACCAUAUAUAAAAUAAACAACAAGGACCUACUGCAGAGCACCAGGAACUAUAUUCAGUACCUUGUAAUAAACUACCAUGAAAAAAUAGAAUCACUUUGCUGUACACCUGAAAUGAGCACAAUAUCGUAAGUCAACC
Molecule: long non-coding RNA, 2820 nt
Filed under: Sus scrofa (pig)
Lineage: Eukaryota; Metazoa; Chordata; Mammalia; Artiodactyla; Suidae
Description: lncRNA (ENSSSCG00025064393.1)
Source: RNAcentral